UGCUGGAGCAGGCACAAGCAAUGACUGCGCACAUCCUGGUGGGCCCCGGUGUGAGGAGUAAAUGCUGAACUGCAGAGCCCUCGCAAAACUGUGGCAUGUCAGGGUGUGCGGAGGAGCCAAGGUUUAGGUACCAAAGAAACUUCAAGGUAAUAACUGGAACGUAGGCUGAAAUGAGGCACCUUCAAUUAGAGAGCAACGGGGAGAUGGUUUUCAACACUGCACCGCAGUGUUCGAAGUAUGUAUGAUACACGCUCAGCUCCCACUAAACUCUUGUGUUUGGUUAUCAGCUUUAUCCACUAGACCUAUGCACGUAAAAAGGCUGGAGUUUAGCCCUAUGUGACCAAGAAUGACUACUGGGGAUAUUUUAUUCAUCAGAUACAUGAGCCAAAGAUCUUAUUUUAUGUUUAUAACCAUUUCAGAAUCUGAAGGAACAACUGUGAAAAGCCUGUGCAGACACCAUCUGAAAUCCUGUCCCUGUCAAGACACAAAAUGACCUCAGCAAAGAAGAAGCCAAAACAAUUCCUUGAUUUUGGGAGAAAAAUGAUUCAGCCCCCAUCUCUUUUCCACCCACAACCUCCUUCUGGGGACCGUGACUUUGUCUUAUGCUUCAGCAGGAAACAUUUUUGGCUGAGCUGAAACUCUCUAGAGUGUGUUGGAUCUUACAGAGGUGCAAAGACCAGAAUCCAUGUCAUUUCUCAUGCUGAGUUAACACAUGACAUCGCUGACUUCUCUAAGGCAAUAUUUCAUCCUGUCAUCCUGAAUAGUAUCUGUUACUUGUGGUGCUUAAAGGUAAUGGUAAAUUCACUGAACGGCAAUUCUCUGGAAAAUGGACAUUACAAUAGAAGAAUUAAAAUUAAACAGCAAAGUUGUUGACAGAAUAAACUGAGAGAGCUGGAUAUACAGCUGUUUAGGCUUCCCAGAAGGAAUCAAGAUUGACCGAAUAUGAAACUAAACUAUGCGAAUCUGGCAAAAUAGUUUGGCUGCUGCUGGCGUACUUCACAUGCGUAAGGCUGGACGUAUGUACAGAAACGAGUUACUCAGAGGAACAAAGGAAGGGGGAACACAGCCUGCCGGGUCCGCUGGGUUGACUGCCUUCACCACUGCCCUAAUUCUGCCGCAGGAGGAACCUCACAGGGAGAGAAGAGGAGAGGAGGCCACCUUAGCUCCUAUUUAGCACAUUUAGUGGAGGGUAAGAGCACACGCAUGGGCAGUUACCACAUUAC
Molecule: long non-coding RNA, 1223 nt
Filed under: Apteryx owenii (little spotted kiwi)
Lineage: Eukaryota; Metazoa; Chordata; Aves; Apterygiformes; Apterygidae
Description: lncRNA (ENSAOWG00000007946.1)
Source: RNAcentral